This 870-nucleotide ribosomal RNA is filed under the name uncultured bacterium. RNAcentral describes it as "bacterial SSU rRNA". It matches the Rfam family "Bacterial small subunit ribosomal RNA", at positions 572 to 1443 of the family's 1533-position model. The record is from RNAcentral.
CNGGCGGUUUGAUAAGUCUGAAGUUAAAGGCUGUGGCUCAACCNUAGUUCGCUUUGGAAACUGUCAAACUUGAGUGCAGAAGGGGAGAGUGGAAUUCCAUGUGUAGCGGUGAAAUGCGUAGAUAUAUGGAGGAACACCGGUGGCGAAAGCGGCUCUCUGGUCUGUAACUGACGCUGAGGCUCGAAAGCGUGGGGAGCGAACAGGAUUAGAUACCCUGGUAGUCCACGCCGUAAACGAUGAGUGCUAGGUGUUGGGUCCUUUCCGGGAUUCAGUGCCGCAGCUAACGCAUUAAGCACUCCGCCUGGGGAGUACGACCGCAAGGUUGAAACUCAAAGGAAUUGACGGGGGCCCGCACAAGCGGUGGAGCAUGUGGUUUAAUUCGAAGCAACGCGAAGAACCUUACCAGGUCUUGACAUCCCGAUGCUAUUUCUAGAGAUAGGAAGUUACUUCGGUACAUCGGUGACAGGUGGUGCAUGGUCGUCGUCAGCUCGUGUCGUGAGAUGUUGGGUUAAGUCCCGCAACGAGCGCAACUCCUAUUGUUAGUUGCCAUCAUUCAGUUGGGCACUCUAGCGAGACUGCCGGUAAUAAACCGGAGGAAGGUGGGGAUGACGUCAAAUCAUCAUGCCCCUUAUGACCUGGGCUACACACGUGCUACAAUGGUUGGUACAACGAGUUGCGAGUCGGUGACGGCGAGCUAAUCUCUUAAAGCCAAUCUCAGUUCGGAUUGUAGGCUGCAACUCGCCUACAUGAAGUCGGAAUCGCUAGUAAUCGCGGAUCAGCACGCCGCGGUGAAUACGUUCCCGGGCCUUGUACACACCGCCCGUCACACCACGAGAGUUUGUAACACCCGAAGUCGGUGAGGUANCCUUA